ACUGAUUCCUGCAGGACCCCAGUCGUUAUGCCCUUCCAGCAUGACUGUGGACCACUGAUGAUUACUCUCUGGGAAUGGUUUUCCAACCAGUUAUUCACUCACCUUAUAGUAGCUCCAUCUGUAUUGCAUUUCCCUAGUGUGUUUAUGAAUAGUGAAUCAUUAUUUUAAUCCUGAUAAUAUUGUCAGAGAAAUAGAAGAGUAGGAUAAUGCACACAAAAAUCUCUAGAGAGCAUUUCAGAUGUUUUGGUUAUGGUUACUAAAGAUCUAGGGUCAGAUGGACUAUACCAUACAUAAAUAUGUGCCAUCCAAACCUGUCAUGGGCAGCAGUAACGUACCCACUAGCAACAAGUUCCAGUUGGUUCUAUACGGAUGGGGACAGAACUAUGAAUUGAAUUGUUUUUUAUUCCCUUGAGCCCAAGAGUAAUCCUGUUCACCAAUUACUUGAAAUUAAAGUCAAGUAAUUUGACACAUCUGUUUGGUUCCUGACCACAAACUACCUCUUAAGCAAACCAAAGAGUUGGAUAGUUUACUUCCACAAUACUCUCUAGAGUUUCAUUACUGCAGUCAUGACAAGAAAAGAAAACUGAGAGGUUAUUCAGGUUCUUCAAUUGCUAUUUUCUUUGUCAUUACUGCUGCUGUUAUGUGAUCCCAAAAGAUUCAAAAUAGAGGAAACUGGAAAGGUAGUUUGUUAACUUCCCAGCCAAUCAUAACAAACACGACAAAAAUGGAGCAAUGCAGGUCUGAAAGUGCAAUAUUGGAUGUAAGAGAACAUGCUGUUCUCUGCAGUGGGAUUCUGAUUCCAGACAUUCUAUAGCCUGACAUCCACUGGGAAAGUGAUGACAUCAUUAAUUAUUUAAAGCAUUGGGACUGGAUUCUGCUGCUUAACUCCCCAACACUGUAAACCCAGAGGACGUCUACUGAGAUUAACAGUGUGCCUGUGGAUUUGCACUCCUGGAACUGAGAGCAGAAACUGGUGAUUGGGAUUUGUAUAGGCUGGGAAAUCUGUAUUUCUGAAGCAUCUACCCAAGCUUUUUAUUCAUGGUUUGAGAAUGAGUUUGCCAAUCACCAAGAAAGAAACAAGAGGAGGCUGCAUUUAAAAUCAAAAUGCUUUCUUUGUACUAACUACGCGUGGCUGCCCUCAUCAUCCAACACGGAUUUUUCUGCAGAACAAAGAUGCAUCAAUAAAUAAUAAUAAUGUAAUGGUGUCUUUUAACAGCAAUCUCCAUUCAGCUGUGUGGUUUUAAGUUUGCUCUUUUUGACCAAAUUAGGAAGAGGGCAAAGUUUGUUAUUCCUAUUUUUAAAAUCCAUUAUUUGAAAGGGAUGUUUCUUCUCUAACCAUAGAUUUUGCUAUAUACAGUGCCUAGCUGUGCAUACAAGGCAUCCCAUAUGGUUGAAGUAGGCUGGAGGGGUUGCUACUAACCAUAUUUAAAAAAGCAGAUGUUACUAAUCUUCUAAAUAUUACACAAAAAUGAUGUCAUUUAUGAUUGACAACGGUUGUGGCUCAUCAAUCCUUUUCAAUAUUUUUUUCUCACAAAAGACAAUGCAACACAAAUGUCGAAGCAAAUUUCUUUUAAAGAGAGCUUGCCUCUAAGAGCAGACCAGUUUGUGUUAGCAUUGAAUUGUUUAGCCGAAAGUCAGCCCCUGCAGGGGGACACAUACAUAUGUUAUAUGUGAGAAACUAGCGAAGCUUGUCUAUGAAUAGUACAGUCAGACAGACUUUUCAGGCUACAUUUUGAGAGCCAGUUUUCAAUCUGGCAAGCUGAAUUUUGUGCCCAAAAUUGAUUACUACCCCAACAAUACUGCAGCCUCACACCUAUUUUCUUUGCAUGUGCAUUCAGGAUAUUUUGACACCAAACUGCCUGAUUUGUGUAUGGAAAUUGAUUUUUAUGUACACAAAAUUGAUGUGCGCCCAAUUAUAAGCUUACAACCAAUUGUGCUUGCAAAAGUAAGCAAAUAAAGUAUCCCAGGGCUGAAACUUUGGCCCUAAGUGAGCUACAUAUGACCCACAAUGAAUUAUCUGUCUUUAACAGAUUAGUUUGACAACAAUGUACUAGCUUGGUUUUAUGUUUACAGCAAUUCCACAUUAGUAAGAUCUUUUCAUUGUCCUUACAGAGUGUGUGCAUCAGCUAUAGUUCUCUGGUGUGUAUGUACUGGCUUUCCUUGCUGGAGAUCAAUAAAAUAUACAGAAGAAA
This is a long non-coding RNA of Dermochelys coriacea (leatherback sea turtle), 2192 nucleotides long. RefSeq lists it as uncharacterized. The record is from RefSeq and is a predicted model, not a curated record. The transcript is spliced from 3 exons. NCBI's taxonomy places the organism in Eukaryota, Metazoa, Chordata, Testudines, Dermochelyidae.